UUUGCCGGCGACCGGCGCACGGGUGAGUAACACGUAUCCAACCUGCCCUUUACUCGGGGAUAGCCUUUCGAAAGAAAGAUCAAUACCCGAUGGCAUAAUGAUUCCGCAUGGUUUCAUUAUUAAAGGAUUCCGGUAAAGGAUGGGGAUGCGUUCCAUUAGGUUGUUGGUGAGGUAACGGCCCACCAAGCCUUCGAUGGAUAGGGGUUCUGAGAGGAAGGUCCCCCCACAUUGGAACUGAGACACGGUCCAAACUCCUACGGGAGGCAGCAUG
RNAcentral lists this ribosomal RNA (271 nucleotides) under uncultured bacterium. Its description in RNAcentral is "partial 16S ribosomal RNA". It matches the Rfam family "Bacterial small subunit ribosomal RNA", at positions 84 to 353 of the family's 1533-position model. The record is from RNAcentral.